Long non-coding RNA from Zea mays, 2160 nucleotides. RefSeq lists it as uncharacterized. The transcript is spliced from 2 exons. NCBI's taxonomy places the organism in Eukaryota, Viridiplantae, Streptophyta, Magnoliopsida, Poales, Poaceae. The record is from RefSeq and is a predicted model, not a curated record.
AAGUCCCAUCCGUAUCCCCAGUCUGUUACGGCCAAAUCCAUGGAGGCCGCACCUUUCGCCGGGUUUUCCUCUCGCCUCUACUGGCAGCAACAGAUUCUCUCCCAAAUCACGCUAUGGUCAGGAUUUGCAACCUCCGCGGACUCUGCCUUCUUGGAGCAUAUAAACUCGUCGCCACCAUCAACUCCCUCUGUGGGCGCCAAACUCAACCACGCAACGCCAUGGAGUCCAGCUCUAAUUUCUUGCCCUUCUCUGCUCUCAGACCCGAUUGCCCUCGCGUGCAAAAAUCCCCUGCGUCCGAGUCGCGCUGGUGAAGAAAAGAGAGAGAGAGAGAAUCGAGCACCACCAUGGCUGCGGGAUAAAGGUUGCCGCCACCAUCGAACACGGGUUGUGCUUUAGCCCAAUGCUCGGAAUGCGGUGGCGGUGCUUCGGGGUAGAACACUCAGUCGCGCGGAAGCCCUCGAUAAAACACGGAGAUCAACCAGCUGCGGGGGAAUCCCUCGUCGUCGUUGUACAACAUGCUGGUUCUGCUCCUCCUCGCGAGCGCGUGUAUCUGCGCUGUCGACCCCGUGAGGACACGUGUCAUCUGAGGAGCAAGUUGGUACCUGGAAUCUCAAGUCCGAGGCAAGUUGUGCCCCUGAUCACUUCUUUUUACUCACUCAUGUUCUAAUUAAUCAUAAUGAUCUGCAUAGGUUAAUUUUGAUGGGAUUGGUUACCAUAGUUUGACUAUCUUUAUACCUUGUUUACCAUUGAAUUUUUUGUUAGUACCUACUAUUGCUUUAUGUGGUUUUAGGUAUAGAGAUACACAUUAUUCAUGAUUAUACUUUUAUUAUCAGUUGUUAUUUAUUGUUCAUGUUAAGAUCAUUAUGUUAAUUGGAACAUGGAGAACCACCCGGGAAAACAGUGCUACCACAAGGGUGGUAUGGGAUGCCCUUGGCUGACUAAUUAGGAAAGCUAGUAGAGGACUACCUUACCCGAAAGGGGCAAGGGUAGUAGGGGAGUGGUCAGUGUAGGGAGGUCCUUGGGUUCAUUUUGUUGCGAUGGCGGUCAGGCGAGGGAUCCCUACACUGGAGCUUCCUAUAAACUGUAGCGGGAUUUCUGAUGCUAAUGGAACUUUGUAAAGGCCUAGUAGUGUUACCCUGCGUCGCCUCCUCGGUAGAGGUGUAUGGGAUUGGCCGUCUCUUGGCAGAUGGGUAACAUUACUUGUGGGUAAAGAUGUGCAACCUCUGCAGAGUGUAAAACUGGUAUACUAGCCGUGCUCACGGUCAUGAGCAGCUCGGACCCUCACAUGAUUAAUUUAUGGAACUAAAUUCAAUUUGUCAUAUGCAUUGCAUUGAGGGUGUUGUUAUUACUUUUGUUCUACUACUUAAUUGGGUUGGUAUUUACUUAUACUUAGUAACUGCUAAUAAAAUUUUGACCAACAUUAAAAGCAAUGCUCAGCUUCAACCAUCCUCUUUGGUAAGCCUUACACUUCACGUGAGCUCCCACCUUUGGCGAGUUCAUGCACAUUAUUCCCCACAACUUGUUGAGCGAUGAACGUAUGUCAGCUCACUCUUGCUGUCUCAUUCCCCAUAGGUCAAGAACAGGUACCGCAGGAUGAGGCGCAUGGAGGAUGCUGUGACGAGUUCGUGACAGGUUUAGGACAUCGUCUCCCAGUCAACUUUGGGUUGCUGGAUCGUUGUCUCCUUAUGAUGUAAUUAUUUAUUUAUUUUGUACAUAACUCCUAUUUAGUAAAGAUGUGACAUUCGUUUCUGUUGGGGGUCUUCUUCUCCACCGAAGGUCCUCAAGGAAUAAACACCUUUUGCAAGACAGUACAAAGGCAGGUGUGAUAUGAAGAUAUAAGCCGAAGUUGAUGCGAACAAAAGUCAAAGCUAUGACUGAAAGAGCUUAGUCUUGGUAUUGUGAUAAAGGCGAAGAACGAUACCGACUUAAAGAAGAAAAGACUAUAUAGCCCUUAAUAGUUUACAUUAUGAUUAUAAUUAGUUAACAAGGACAUGGAUGUAAUUUUGUCCGAGCUGUGUCCCGUGCCUAUAAAUAGAUGAACAGUACCCCCGUACUGUUCAUGUUGCAUUGUAAUCGCUCUCGCGUCACUCUCACAUUUUCACCUUCUGACGAGCCGAAGGUAUCGAUGAAAUAUAAAUAUUGUGAAUAUUUAUUUAAGUU